This 410-nucleotide ribosomal RNA is filed under the name bacterium enrichment culture clone ALO1_GLFRUDD03F3ZFX. RNAcentral's name for it is "bacterial SSU rRNA". It matches the Rfam family "Bacterial small subunit ribosomal RNA", at positions 9 to 417 of the family's 1533-position model. The record is from RNAcentral.
GAGUUUGAUCCUGGCUCAGAUUGAACGCUGGCGGCAUGCCUUACACAUGCAAGUCGAACGGCAGCACGGGAGCUUGCUCCUGGUGGGCGAGUGGCGAACGGGUGAGUAAUGCAUCGGAACGUAUCCUGGAGUGGGGGAUAACGUAGCGAAAGUUACGCUAAUACCGCAUAUUCUGUGAGCAGGAAAGCGGGGGACCUUCGGGCCUCGCGCUCUUGGAGCGGCCGAUGUCGGAUUAGCUAGUUGGUGAGGUGAAGGCUCACCAAGGCGACGAUCCGUAGCAGGUCUGAGAGGAUGAUCUGCCACACUGGAACUGAGACACGGUCCAGACUCCUACGGGAGGCAGCAGUGGGGAAUAUUGGACAAUGGGGGCAACCCUGAUCCAGCCCAUGCCGCGUGAGUGAAGAAGGCCU